GGAGGAUUGCUUGAGCCCAGGGGUUUAAGGCUGCAAUGAGCCGUGAUCAUACCACUGCACUCCAGCCUGAGUGACAGAGCAAGACUUUAUCUC
Cebus imitator (Panamanian white-faced capuchin) is the source of this 93-nucleotide microRNA precursor. The record is from Ensembl. Lineage: Eukaryota; Metazoa; Chordata; Mammalia; Primates; Cebidae.